AACGCACAUUGCGCCCUCUGGCAUUCCGGAGGGCAUACCUGUCUGAGCGUCGAUAAAUCCUCAAACUUAAGUGUUUGGUUUUGGAGGAAGUGGUUAAGAAAUUGACUUCUCCUCUUAAAUGCAUUGGCGAUGCUACCUGUAGCUUGUAAGAUGUAGUAAGACAUCUCAUCGAAGCAAGCUGUAGGUGGUGUUGGCCAUCUGAAAUAGAUUUACCGUACCCAUAUUGACCUCAGAUCAGGUAAGGAUACCCGCUGAACUUAA
RNAcentral lists this unclassified non-coding RNA (261 nucleotides) under uncultured Ascomycota. RNAcentral describes it as "sequence contains 5.8S rRNA gene, ITS2, 28S rRNA gene". Lineage: Eukaryota; Fungi; Ascomycota. The record is from RNAcentral.